This is a long non-coding RNA of Hypanus sabinus (Atlantic stingray), 2433 nucleotides long. RefSeq lists it as uncharacterized. The transcript is spliced from 3 exons. NCBI's taxonomy places the organism in Eukaryota, Metazoa, Chordata, Chondrichthyes, Myliobatiformes, Dasyatidae. The record is from RefSeq and is a predicted model, not a curated record.
CCCAACCCGACUAAUCAAGAACUGAUCUACUACUUUAAAUAUACCCAAUGACUCAACCGUCACAGCUGUCUGUGCCAAUUAAUUCUGCUGAUUCACCACACCCUGGCUAAACAAACCCCUCCUCAUCUGUCUUAAAGGGACGUCCCUGUGCUCUCUGCUCCAAGACUCCCCCACGACAGGAAACAUCCUUUCUCCAUUUAUUCUCUCGGGCCUUUUUAAUAUUUGAUGAGUUUCAUUGAGAUCCCCCACAGUUUUCUAAACCACUGUGAGUACAGGCCCCAUCAACCAAAUGCUCCUCAAAUGUUAAUGCUUUCAUUUCCCUAGAUUAUCCUUGUGAACCUCCUCUGAAGCCUCUCCAAUGUCAGCACAGCUCUCCUUCGAUAAAGGUCCCAACACUGCUCACAAUGCUCCAGCUUUAACAACCUCAGAUACUACCGAAUGUCUGGUUGGAUAAUCACUGUUCUGGCCUCUAAAACUCCCUGUUCCGUACUCACAAGCCAAAAAGCAACAACAGUGCAACUGAGAAACUUCUCAACACCUUUUCGAAUGAACUACCCCUGCCUUCCUCUCCAAAGAUGCCAACAGGCAAGCCAAUUCUGAAUCCAAACUGGCAUAUCACCAUGGAUCCCGUGCACCCUACUAUGAGGGACGUUGUCAAACACCGAACUAAUGUUCAUGUAGACGACAUCCAUUAACAUGUCUACAUCAAUCAUCUUCUUCAGUCUAUUUUAUCUGCUGAGGGACUAUCCAGGUAGUGGUGUACAUUCCACCUCAGGCCAACAUCAGGCAGCCACCGGAGGAGCUCAGCGCCGUUAUCAGUAGCCACGAAGCAGCCUAAUUCCUUCCCAAUCAUUGCAGGGAAUUUCAACCAGGUCAACUUGAAGCCGUCUCUGACCAAUGACCCCCAACAUGUCACCUAUGGAUCCAGAGGAGCCAGCACACUGGAUCACUGUCACACCACCAUCAAGAAUGUUCACCAUCCUACACCCGCACCUUGGAAAACCCAUUUAGCUAGUUGUACUUCUACUUGUGGCAGCACCAAUGAUGAGAGGCAUGUCAAGGGAGGCAGAGGAGCUCUAACAGGGCUGUAUCAGAACAUCUUUCAUGAGGGUGUUCUCAAGUUGCAACUAGUCAGGCCCUGAUGGUGUACCUGGUAGGGCACUGAAAACCUGUACCAACCAACCAGCAUGAGCUUUCAAGGACAUCUUCAGUCUUUUACAACUACAGUUAGAGUACUACAGUUACCUGCUUCAAAAGGGUAACAAUCAUGCCAGUACCUGAGAAGAGCAAGGUGAAUUGUCUUAAUGACUAUUGCCCAGUUGCACUCACAUCUACUGUGAAUGAGUGCUUUGAGAGGUUGGUCAUGGUCGUAAUAAACUCAAUAGGUCAAUAGAGGAUGCAAUCACACUGGCUUCCACUCAGCUAUGAUCACCUGGACAAUACUUACAUCAGGCUACUAUUUAUUGAUUACAGCUCACCGUUCAACAAUAUCAUACCGUCAGUACUACUCAAUAAGCUCCAAAACCUGAGCCUCUAUAUCUCCCUCUGCAACUAGGUCCAAGAUUUCCUCUACAGGAGACCACAAUCUGUGCAGAUCGGAAAUAACAUCUCUUCCUCACUGACAAUCAACACUGGUGCACCUUAAGUAUGUGUACUUAGCCCACUGCUCUACACUCUCUAUACCCACAACUGUUUGGCUAGACACAGCUCAAAUGCUAUCUAUAAAUUUGCCAAUGACAUAACUAUUGUUGGCAGAAUUUCAGAUGGCAACGAGGAAGCACUGAGGAGUGAGAUAGAUCAGCUGGUUGAGUGGUGUAACAGCAACAACCUUGCACUCAACAUCAGUAAGAUCAAGGAAUUGAUUGUGGACUUCAGGAAGGGGAAGUCAACGGAACACACACCAGUCCUCAAUGAAGGCUCAGCAGUGGAAAGAGUGAGAAGUUUCAAGUUCCUGGAUGACAACAUCUCUGAAGAUCUAUCCUGGGCAGAACAGAUUGAUGCCAUUGCAAAGAAGGCACGACAGCAGCAUUAGGAGUUUGAGGAAUUUUGGUUUGUCACCAAAGACUCUCACAAAUUGCUACAGAUGUACUGUGGAGAGCAUUCUAAUUGGCUGUAUCACUGUCUGCUAUGGAAGGGUAACCGCACAGGAUCAGAAAAGGCUACAGGAAGUUGCAAACACAACCAGCUCCAUCAUGGGCACUAGCUUGCCCAGCAACAUGAACAUCUUCAGAAGGGAUGCCUCAAAAAGGCAGCAUCUGUCAUUAAGGACCACCAUCAUUCAGGGCAUGGUUUUUAACAUUAUCAUCAAGGAGGUGGUACAGGAGCUUGAAGACACACACUCAACAUUUUAGGAACAGCUUCUUACCCUCUGCCCUCAGUUUCCUGAAUGGACCCAUGUACAGUACCUCACUAUUUUUCCUAUUAUUUGCUUUC